GGGGAUUUAGCUCAGUGGCAGAGCGCUUGCCUAGGAAGCGCAAGGCCCUGGGUUCGGACCCCAGCUCCG
Molecule: transfer RNA, 69 nt
Filed under: Rattus norvegicus (Norway rat)
Lineage: Eukaryota; Metazoa; Chordata; Mammalia; Rodentia; Muridae
Rfam family: tRNA
About the family: Transfer RNA (tRNA) molecules are approximately 80 nucleotides in length. Their secondary structure includes four short double-helical elements and three loops (D, anti-codon, and T loops). Further hydrogen bonds mediate the characteristic L-shaped molecular structure. tRNAs have two regions of fundamental functional importance: the anti-codon, which is responsible for specific mRNA codon recognition, and the 3' end, to which the tRNAs corresponding amino acid is attached (by aminoacyl-tRNA synthetases). tRNAs cope with the degeneracy of the genetic code in two manners: having more than one tRNA (with a specific anti-codon) for a particular amino acid; and 'wobble' base-pairing, i.e. permitting non-standard base-pairing at the 3rd anti-codon position.
Source: Rfam by way of RNAcentral